AGAGUUUGAUCCUGGCUCAGAGUUAACGUUGGCGGCGUGCCUAACACAUGCAAGUCGAACGCGUCCUAAGGGCAACUUUAGGAUGAGUGGCGAACGGGUGAGUAUCACGUGGGUAAUCUUCCUUCAAGUGGGGAAUAAGCUCUCGAAAGGGAGUCUAAUACCGCAUGACAUUCCGGGACACAAGUCCCGUAAUCAAAGCCGCAAGGCGCUUGAAGAUGAGCCUGCGUCCUAUUAGCUAGUUGGUGGGGUAACGGCCUACCAAGGCUCAGAUGGGUAGCCGGCCUGAGAGGGUGAACGGCCACACUGGGACUGAGACACGGCCCAGACUCCUACGGGAGGCAGCAGUGAGGAAUUUUGCGCAAUGGGGGAAACCCUGACGCAGCGACGCCGCGUGGAGGAUGAAGGCCUUCGGGUCGUAAACUCCUGUCAGAGGUGAAGAAUGCCCGCAAGGGUUUGACGGUAACCUCAGAGGAAGCCCCGGCUAACUACGUGCCAGCAGCCGCGGUAAUACGUAGGGGGCAAACGUUACUCGGAAUUACUGGGCGUAAAGGGUGCGUAGGCGGCUGGGAAAGUCAAGGAUGAAAUCCCGUGGCUCAACUGCGGAACGGUCCUUGAAACUACUCGGCUUGAGGAUAACCGAAGAGAACGGAAUUCCCGGUGGAGCGGUGAAAUGCGUAGAUAUCGGGAGGAACACCUGAGGCGAAAGCGGUUCUCUAGACUACUCCUGACGCUGAGGCACGAAAGCUAGGGGAGCAAACGGGAUUAGAUACCCCGGUAGUCCUAGCCAUCAACUAUGGAUACUGGAUAUUCCUGCACUCAUGUGGGAGUGUCGAAGCCAACGCGUUAAGUAUCCCGCCUGGGGAGUACGGUCGCAAGAUUGAAACUCAAAGGAAUUGACGGGGGCCCGCACAAGCGGUGGAGCAUGUGGUUUAAUUCGACGCAACGCGAAGAACCUUACCU
RNAcentral lists this ribosomal RNA (960 nucleotides) under Candidatus Aminicenantes bacterium ADurb.Bin147. RNAcentral's name for it is "bacterial SSU rRNA". It matches the Rfam family "Bacterial small subunit ribosomal RNA", at positions 8 to 976 of the family's 1533-position model. The record is from RNAcentral. Lineage: Bacteria; Candidatus Aminicenantota.